CAGUCGCCGCGGGAAUACGGAGGGGGCUAGCGUUGUUCGGAUUUACUGGGCGUAAAGCGCACGUAGGCGGAAAUUUAAGUCAGGGGUGAAAUCCCGAGGCUCAACCUCGGAACUGCCUUUGAUACUGGGGAUCUCGAGUCCGGGAGAGGUGAGUGGAACUGCGAGUGUAGAGGUGAAAUUCGUAGAUAUUCGCAAGAACACCAGUGGCGAAGGCGGCUCACUGGCCCGGUACUGACGCUGAGGUGCGAAAGCGUGGGGAGCAAGCAGGAUUAGAUACCCCUGUAGUCCCUGUCUCUUAUAC
Molecule: ribosomal RNA, 301 nt
Filed under: uncultured bacterium
Lineage: Bacteria
Description: partial 16S ribosomal RNA
Rfam family: Bacterial small subunit ribosomal RNA
Source: RNAcentral